Non-coding RNA from Caenorhabditis elegans, 91 nucleotides. NCBI's taxonomy places the organism in Eukaryota, Metazoa, Nematoda, Chromadorea, Rhabditida, Rhabditidae. The record is from Ensembl.
AUCGUUGUGAUCAGUUUUUAACUUUUCUCAACAAUAAUCGGUUUACCUAUAGUAUCACGUCACCUCCAUUUCUUCCCUUAACACCUCCAUU